GGUUGUGGCUCAGUGGUAGAGCACUUGCCUAGCAUGUGUGAGAACGGGGUUCAAUCCUCAGCACCG
This 66-nucleotide transfer RNA is filed under the name Marmota monax (woodchuck). RNAcentral describes it as "tRNA.Ala". The record is from RNAcentral. Lineage: Eukaryota; Metazoa; Chordata; Mammalia; Rodentia; Sciuridae.